This 419-nucleotide long non-coding RNA is filed under the name Panax ginseng (ginseng). RNAcentral describes it as "long non-coding RNA (PGIN_LNC016635)". The record is from RNAcentral. Lineage: Eukaryota; Viridiplantae; Streptophyta; Magnoliopsida; Apiales; Araliaceae.
UUGAGAGCUCUCUGAUUUCUUUCAUGUGGGAUGUAUCUUUGCAGCUUAGACCAGAGGCUUCAUUCCUUUGGAUAUUCUAGGAGUGCAUAUUUAUUGGAAUCGUAUUUGCUCUACGAUUCUGCCUUGGCAUUGUGAGCACAUCUUUUGAAGUCUUAAUUCUGCACUCUACGAUUCAGCUUUGGCUGUGCAGACACUACGACUCCGAGAUCAGAUCUUGACACUCUACGAUUUCUGUCAUUGUGCUUGUUGUCUUCAUCUGAUCUUGCUCGACUUCGAUCUCUGCCUCUGAUAUGAUCAGUAGACUCUACGACUCUGAGUGUAGUCUACGAUUCUUGACUUUGACUUCGGCAGAUACUUGGUCGGCUCAUAGGCAUGAUGUCUCUACGAUUCUGAACAUGACUUCCUCAGCAGACUACGGC